This 253-nucleotide ribosomal RNA is filed under the name uncultured bacterium. Its description in RNAcentral is "partial 16S ribosomal RNA". It matches the Rfam family "Bacterial small subunit ribosomal RNA", at positions 524 to 776 of the family's 1533-position model. The record is from RNAcentral.
UACGAACCGUGCAAACGUUGUUCGGAAUCACUGGGCGUAAAGGGCGCGUAGGCGGUCUCCCAAGUCCGGGGUGAAAUCUUUCGGCUUAACCGGAAAAGUGCCUUGGAUACUGGGAGGCUUGAGGGGGGUAGGGGCAAGCGGAACUUCCGGUGGAGCGGUGAAAUGCGUUGAUAUCGGAAGGAACGCCGGCGGCGAAAGCGGCUUGCUGGACCCCAUCUGACGCUGAAGCGCGAAAGCCAGGGGAGCGAACGGG